Molecule: ribosomal RNA, 236 nt
Filed under: uncultured bacterium
Lineage: Bacteria
Description: partial 16S ribosomal RNA
Rfam family: Bacterial small subunit ribosomal RNA
Source: RNAcentral
GCAAGUCGAACGGGAUUGAUUGGUACUUGUAUCAAUCAUGAGAGUGGCGCACGGGUGAGUAACACGUGUGAACAUACCCAGAAGUGGGGGAUAACAGAUGGAAACGACAGCUCAUACCGCAUAAUCCCUGAGGGGGAAAGCUUUAGUGCUUUUGGAUUGGCCCGCGGUAGAUUAGGUAGUUGGUGAGGUAAUGGCUCACCAAGGUUACGAUCUAUAGCUGGUUUGAGAGGAUGAUC